This 253-nucleotide ribosomal RNA is filed under the name uncultured bacterium. RNAcentral describes it as "partial 16S ribosomal RNA". It matches the Rfam family "Bacterial small subunit ribosomal RNA", at positions 524 to 776 of the family's 1533-position model. The record is from RNAcentral.
GACAGAGGGUGCAAACGUUGUUCGGAAUUACUGGGCGUAAAGGGCUCGUAGGCGGCCAACUAAGUCAGACGUGAAAUCCCCAGGCUCAACCUGGGAACUGCGUCUGAUACUGGAUGGCUUGAGUUCGGGAGAGGGAUGCGGAAUUCCAGGUGUAGCGGUGAAAUGCGUAGAUAUCUGGAGGAACACCGGUGGCGAAGGCGGCAUCCUGGACCGACACUGACACUGAGGAGCGAAAGCCAGGGGAGCAAACGGG